Long non-coding RNA from Cydia strobilella, 5991 nucleotides. RefSeq lists it as uncharacterized. The transcript is spliced from 3 exons. Lineage: Eukaryota; Metazoa; Arthropoda; Insecta; Lepidoptera; Tortricidae. The record is from RefSeq and is a predicted model, not a curated record.
AUCACCAUGGAGGACCUGCGCCAGUCCCUCACCAAGCUCAAGGAGGCCAAGAUCCAGUGCGGGGCGCUGCCCCCUAGUAUGCGGAUAGAGCUGGACUAGAACUCGACUCGCACUGUACUUUGCUGGUUGCUGUCAACUGUCAAUAUUAGAUUAGACAUAGAGGCUUCUAAUUGUGAAGUUAACUUGAACGAAGUGAGUUAAUUUAACAGGUAUUUAUGUAGUUAUACUAAUACAAGCCAUAUUUUAAUGGUAGCGUUAUCUUCAUUAAAGAGAAUCGAGUUUAUAUCGCUUAUCGCCGUGGAUAAAACCAUCUUGAUUUGAUAACAUACUUCAUUUAUGUAUGAGUACAUUUUAUCAUCUUAAUCCAGUGAAAUAAAAUAGACGACCGCGACCAUGAUAUGUUUUUAUCCACAACGACAAGUGAUAGUCGUGUUGUGUGAGAAAUCAUGAGUUUAAUAUGACAAUGAUGGGAACUUGAAGGGAAUGUUAAUAUAAGUUGGUAAAUAUCUAUUGCCAUGACUUUUGCCAUGCGUAGUUGGCAGUAAAGCACAUUUAUAUAAUAAUAUGUGCUUCAAUGAGGUUCUUGUGAUUAGAAAAAGUUCCGAACAUAUAAUUUGUAGACAUGUAAUUAUAUCAUAAAACCAUUUUAUUGACUGUGUUUAAUACCCCAAAUACUGUCAUUUAAUUAAGGGCAAGUUUGAUUCUUUAAUCUAAUCGUCAUUUCAAUAUUUGGGAUUUAAAAACACUUCGAAAUAUGUUCAUAUUUGUGAGUAUUACUAUUAGUCCGUUAUAUUACCAAGGUUUUGUGAACUAAUAAAAAUAAAAGUCAGGUAAAAUAGUUCAUAUUACAAAAUAAAAGUGUCAUUUUGACAUCUUUUGUGUAAUUGAAAGCUGGUAUGUAUCAGUGAUAAUUAUGAAUAUUAUUAGUUCAUAAAAUAUACUUGGUAGCAUAGAUAUAACAGUGGCAUGGCGUCUGUUUAUAAGACUUUUUAGGCAUCAUCUAUUCAAAAUAUUUAUCAGUACGGUUUUUACUCACUAUUAUUUUUAGUCGCUUUUGGCGACAUGUUUCGGAUUCUUUGGGCAUCCAUCCUCAGGCACGAGUGUCCACGGCGGUUGUACGUCCAACCACGUGCAAAACCGUACUGAUAAAUAUUUUGAAAUAUGUCUCACGAUAGUUUAAGUGCGAGCAUCAUCUAUUCUUAAUACAAUCAAUAUUACCAUAUUCAUUUGAUUGCCUUUAGCAAUAUUGUGUAGUUAUUUGCCGAUUUUUGUGCUAUAAUAUUAAUAAGCCAAAACUAAGGUGUAGCUUUUUGCAAUGAUAAUUGUUAGGUCUUUGGUCGCCAUGCCAUUAUUCAUUGGAGUUUUAGUGAUUUAAAAAAGUUACCAGUAUCAACCGGAGAUAUUAUGUAGAUAAACAAAUAAGACACCCAUUUGCAUAAACUUUCAUAUAAAAAAAUAGGUCGUCGUCGAUAUGCGCUUCCCUAGGGCGUGUAAUCAAAAAAGAAAUCAAUAUAAAGAUUAGCACGCUUCUGGCGAGUUUCGGUAGCUCAGUUGGUUUAGAGCAAUCGGACCGGUGUUCCGACAGGUCGCAAUCUCUAGUCUUAUCAGAAGCGGCGAAUUUUCAGUUUUUUCUUUGAAUAGAAUAAUAAUAAUAAGGUAAUGUUAACGGCGAUAAAUCUUAUAAAAGUUUUUGCAACUGGGUUACCGUCACGCCGUUUGAUCCUAUUCUAGUUCAGUAUAGUUCAGUUCAGACUCUUCAGACUACUCAUUUACUUAGUUCAUUUGAGAGCAUUACUUAAAAAAAUCCCUCUUGGUAAAUUGUCGAAUACUCUAUGAAUUUCAUGUUAUUUCUACUCAAUCACGGGCUCUGUCGAUCCUAAUAGCAAAAAAUAAAGUCACAAUAUUUAUUUCCUCUUGUGUUACUAUAAUUUCAUACAGUUUCUAUGGCGAUAACACAUAGGAAAGCUUCAAAAUGUAUGAACAAUUUAGGCCUCUUUCUUCUGGGAUGGAAUAAUAAAGGUGGGUUUUUUUUUGAGAAAUGCUCUAUAUGGGGGUUUUUAGAAAAAAUGAUACCAUUUCCUUUUUUUUUCGACAAACCAUCUACUUUUAGGUUAUUUAGACUCAGAAUCACGAGUACUAUUGAAUGAGACAAAGAAAAAAGUAUUUCCAGUUUUUCAUACAAAUUUUGGCUGUCAGUUUUGUAACGGUCCAUACAAAAUGUAUGUGAAAAUGCGUUACAAAACUGACAGUUUUUUUGGGCACAUUAUUUUCUUUUAAAAUCGAUAGUCCUCGUGAUUCUGAGUACGAAAUAACCCAAAAGUUGAUGGAUUUACGAAAAAAAGUAAAUGGUACACUUUUAAGUGAAACUGCCCAUAUUCUCGUUUUGAUGAACAAUGUGCUAACAACUACAGAAUAAUAGUUUUGGCCGUAUCAGCUUAACUUUAAAGUAGAAAUUCGAUUGAAAGCUAAGUCUGCUUUUACACUUUUGUAUAUACGCUUCCAGCAAUAAUUUUAGAUGUUAGAUUAGUUUAGCUUCGAAUUUAAAUUAAAUCAAAGUUUUGUACUAAAAUGUACCCAACCUUAUCAUGUGUUACUUAGGUGCAUUUUGGCUUGAUAUUGAUAUGUGUUAACUUAUUGCUAACUUAAAGUUUUUAAAUAAGACAAUACUUUAGGAAUGGGCAUUUGAAUGUAUUUCUUUUCGUUAGAAUUUAGUACUUGUACUUUAAAAAAUAUAUGUAUCAAGUUUUUUUAUAUAAAAUUUUGAAAACUAUUAUGUAUCCAGAUACAAUGCAAAACAGUAUCUUUUAAUUAAAACUCAAUUCAACAAGCGAUCUAUACUGAAACACAUGAUUUACUCUUUUAACAUUUUAGGGUUCCAUAAUCACCCUAAAAUGUUAAAAAAGUCAUAUGUGUUUCAGUUUAGAUUUUUCCAUAGCCAAAUUGAAAAAACGGACCUUUAUUAGAUUCCAACAUAACAAGAAAAUAGUUAUUUGUUAUACAAGGGUGCAAAGUUGUAUUUUACCCGCGAGUGUUUCAACACACGAGAAGUAAAAUACAUUUGCACCCGUGUGUAACACAAAACUUUUCCCCUCACUAUAGCGAGGAAAGUGCAACAUCCACAGGCGUUAGAUCAUCUUCAUCACUGGAAUCACAAUUUUUUUUACGAUAUUAUAACAGAAAACACUAGAAAUUCUGAUUUUUACGUGAGUCGGUGAGAAGAACAGUAAAAAUUAUGUUGACAAUGUUGACAUUUCUGUUCUGACGUAUGAAAUGUCAACGAUGCGUUUUGGAAUUGCAUCGACUCAACUUGUGCGUUCCGAAUUAUAUUUAACAUCAUUACAAAAAAUCUAACGUUUCUUAUGGAGUUUUAAGGUUUAUGACUUAAAAUUAUUAAAUUUGGAAGUUUUUAUUAGAUUCUCAAACCAUUUAUUUAAUGAUAAUUAAUAUCGAACGAACCAUUAUCAUGAGCGUUUUACGUUUUGUUAUCUGUCAAGCUACUUAAACACGCUCCAUCCAAGGUCAAAUUACUUUCCCCACUAGUGGAUAAAACGCGUUUUUCCCCGCUUGUAUUGAAGGAUAAAAGACAACUUUCCGAGCUAGUGAGGGUAAAAUAUAUUUACUGGGUAAUAAAAUGCAUUAUAUUUUAAAAUAUUAAUGGAUAUAUCGACCCAACUAUUUAUAAAACAGUUUAUAAUAAUAAAUAUCAACUAAAGUGACCUGACAAAUUGAAAAUAUAAAUCGUUAAAUUAUUACAAGUUAAAUUUGAAGAAUUUUUACCAAAAUUAAAGUGUUACGCUGAGUUCUAUUGUAUAUAAGCUUUGUUGUGGGUAUAUUUCGAUUGAAAUUGUAAAAAUACGCUUGAAAUUUUGGUUACGCUGCAGGCAGUGUUUUUCUAAUUAUUUGUAUAAGUGAGAAUUUAGAGUUGUUACAUUUGUUACCAAACCAGCGCUUGAAUUUAUUAAUUAUAAUAUUGAUGGGAUCCUUUUUUUAGCGUUUGCCAAUGUCGCCAUAAAUUUAAAUUGAAAAUGUAAAGGCGCGUGAAUUUACUAACUUGUCUAUGAUGGUUUUUUAACAUUUCAAGUAAAGCAAUGUCUUGCAAAUUAUGGAGGACAGUUUAAAAACUUACGCAGACAAAGUCGCGGGCAAAGAGUGUAUAUUUAGUACUGCAGAUGAAAAUCCAUUUUAUGCCAAAAAUGCCUUACAUCAUUUUGGAAAAUAACUGAUACUUUUUUUAUUUUAUUUUUAUUACUGACUAAGUCCCACGGUAAGCCCAAGGAGGCUUGUGUUAUGGGUACUCAGACAACAAAUAUCUGUGCUCAUCACACAAAUAAAUGCCCUUACCGGGAUUCGAACCCAGGACCAUCGGCUUCACAGGCAGGGUCACUACCCACUAGGCCAGACCGGUCGUCCUUUUUUAAACUGCUGGAUCGAUUUUUAUCAAACAUAUCUGAGAACCGCCGCAUGGAUACUCGCUUUCGCGUAAAAAAACCCAUCGAAAUCGGUCCAUCCGUUUGAGAGCUAACGAUGCCGCAUACAUUGGAGUCAAACAUGUAAAACCUCUCUUUUUGCGUCUACGGUUAAGGCCGUUCCAUCAGUUUGCCGCUGUCUUUGUCACAUUUCGCAAGAAAGAACGGGAAAGAACAUACGCGCCAUGUGUCAAUUUUGAUCGAAUUUUGUCGGUUUUUAUUUAUUUUAAAAACGUUACCUUACAAUAUCGAAAUUCUAAAGCUAUGAAAUUACUAUUUACGUUAAGAUUGUUUUUUCUUCUUUUUUUGUUUAUAGUAUCACAUAAUAAAUAACCGAGUAAAGUAGGAUUAAAAGUCCGAGUUAGAGGUUACUUUGGGAAUUAAUUGUAUCGAGCGAAGUGUCAUAAUUCGUGUAUCGGAAGCUAUGUUGUUAAAGAUAAUAUAGUCAAGAACUACAUAUAUUUUUUUCACGUCUACGAAUAUCAACGCCUCUUAGAAAAACAUGAUCAUAUAAGGAGAUUUUUCGCCUUCUGGCUCAGGGAACCGCCUUAAAACGAUAAGAUUCAUACAAUCGUUUGUAUAGCUUUCUUGUAUAUUGUGUGCAUUUUAUUUAUACUUUUGUAGUGAAAUACAAUAUUAAGAUUUUUAUAAAUAACUUCAGGUUAGGUCUAUUCAGCUAAUUCCGAAAAUGAAUUCUAAUAUGAGUAAUUUUCGAAAUUAUCCGAAAUAAUGAAGUAUUCGGAAUUACCCGAAUGUGGUCUUAAAGUCGCAAUAUUUCAUAGGAGUGAAGGCCCUGCUUUAAAUGGUUUAAAAGCAUAAGUAAUUAAAAUUAAUGAGUUUCACAAUUUUGUGUGUUAAUCCUUAAUCCGUUUGUUCAUUUAUAUAUGAAAUGUUUUUAUCAAUUUUCCUGUUAGACUAAGAAUGCCGUACGUUUGUAAAAUAAAAGGUUUUGUGAGUUAGAUUCAAGGUUUUUUUUUUUUUUUUCAAAUAUGAACGCAAUUCUGAAACAUGAAACAAUAAUAUCACUUACUCAAAAUUUCACCGAAAUCUCAAUUAUAUGUUGCUCAAUAAAAGCAUUCCUUUGCUUUUUAUUCGUAUUUUAAUCGUAAACUACUUGUGAUUGGGUAUUUUUAAUAAUUUGUUUUUAGCGUAAUUUGAACAGCCCCAAUCUACUAUACUAAAUGUGUUAAAACUAAAUUAUUGUGUCAAACACAAAUAUCAUGACGAGCGAUAUAAUUGUUAAACGUGAAAUUUCUGUAAUUGUUUAUUUGCAAACUUACAUGUUAUGAAAGGCUAUGUGUGCGACUGCAGCGCCCGCCUGGUGUCUAUUUCACAUUUCUGCCACGCUGUGCGUUUGCCAAAGCUUUCACACUCAAAGCCAAUAGGAGAAAGGUGUAGGAUAAAUUAAAAUAGUGUAAAAUAUUGACCACUUCUCAAACAUAAUGUAGUGAAAUGACAAUCUUUGUUAUCGUUGAUUUGUGCGCAAAUAUUUAUUGUGUAAAUAAAGACAAUUAUGAUUGGAAAA